GCGGCUAUGCCCGAGUGGUCUAAGGGGGCAGAUUUAAGCCCUGCUGUUGUAAAACGCGAGAGUUCGAACCUCUCUGGCCGCA
RNAcentral lists this transfer RNA (82 nucleotides) under Schizosaccharomyces pombe (fission yeast). RNAcentral describes it as "tRNA Leucine". It matches the Rfam family "tRNA". Rfam says of the family: Transfer RNA (tRNA) molecules are approximately 80 nucleotides in length. Their secondary structure includes four short double-helical elements and three loops (D, anti-codon, and T loops). Further hydrogen bonds mediate the characteristic L-shaped molecular structure. tRNAs have two regions of fundamental functional importance: the anti-codon, which is responsible for specific mRNA codon recognition, and the 3' end, to which the tRNAs corresponding amino acid is attached (by aminoacyl-tRNA synthetases). tRNAs cope with the degeneracy of the genetic code in two manners: having more than one tRNA (with a specific anti-codon) for a particular amino acid; and 'wobble' base-pairing, i.e. permitting non-standard base-pairing at the 3rd anti-codon position. The record is from RNAcentral. Lineage: Eukaryota; Fungi; Ascomycota; Schizosaccharomycetes; Schizosaccharomycetales; Schizosaccharomycetaceae.